GAGGAAUAUUGGUCAAUGGGCGCGAGCCUGAACCAGCCAUCCCGCGUGAAGGAAGAAGGCGCUAUGCGUUGUAAACUUCUUUUCCAGGGGGCGAACGUUCCGUACGUGUACGGGAGUGACGGUACCCUGGGAAUAAGCAUCGGCUAACUCCGUGCCAGCAGCCGCGGUAAUACGGAGGAUGCGAGCGUUAUCCGGAUUUAUUGGGUUUAAAGGGUGCGUAGGCGGAUUAAUAAGUCAGUGGUGAAAACCUGCAGCUUAACUGUGGAACUGCCGUUGAUACUGUUAGUCUUGAGUAUGGUCAAGGUAGGCGGAAUGUGUAAUGUAGCGGUGAAAUGCUUAGAUAUUACACAGAACACCGAUUGCGAAGGCAGCUUACUGGGCCGUUACUGACGCUGAUGCACGAAAGCGUGGGGAUCGAAC
RNAcentral lists this ribosomal RNA (420 nucleotides) under uncultured bacterium. RNAcentral's name for it is "bacterial SSU rRNA". It matches the Rfam family "Bacterial small subunit ribosomal RNA", at positions 356 to 773 of the family's 1533-position model. The record is from RNAcentral.